CCUGAGGACACUGGGAGGACUGGGAGGACUGGGAGACCAGGCUCUGAGGGACUCCACACUCCACCUGGACGUCUUUAGAUCCGGAUCAACCCGAGCAGAACCAGAAUCUCUGCAAGUGAGCAUGCACCCCCCCACUCAGCAGCUCAGAAUGGGUCGCUCCAGUCUGCUGUCCAAUAGCAGAGAGGCUCAUGGAUCGCAGCCCCUCCAUUGGCUCCCCACAGGAUCGAUCCCGGGCUGAUUGAUCGGGGGUUUAAGGCCACAUUUAUUUUUAUUUUUAUUUUUUGCAAGAGAAGACACAAAAACAAAACAUCACACACUUUGUGUUUCUGUCAACUUCUAGCUUUAAAUGCAUCCAAAGAUAUCAGAAUAUAAUAAAUAUAAAUGCAGCUCUGAGAGGAGACAGUGUUUGGUUCUGUUUGGUUCUGUUUGGUUCUGUUUGGUUCUGUUUGGUUCUGUUUGGUUCUGUUCAGUCACAGGACGCAUUCUUCAUCAGUUUGCAAGCGGUUGUAAAAGUUUGCUCAAAUAUUGAUGAGCUUUAAUUUAUGGAGGACGAGUUAUCUCCUCCUGAAAGCACUGACAUCACUGAGUAAUGUGUGGAUGUAAAUGAACCACGUAGUGUGGAUUUACUCCUCUACAUCACUGCGACAUGAAGGGCUGCAAAUCUUAUUUCAUUUAUAUCAAUGUUUUUUUUAAUUAAUAAAAGAGUAAAACUGCCUGAAAGUCUGCAUAAAGUAUUUAUGAUAUAUUUCAUGGAGGGGGAUAAAAACGGAGAGAUGAUGCUCCUGCAUUUAUCUGCUGGUUUUGCUCCUAAAGGUGCUGCUGUGAGGUGACAACCUGUGAGAUGUUUCAUUUUUCAUUUUUCAUUUAUUCUUCUUCUCCUCUCUCUCCGUCCAGGCAUCGAUCACCUGCAGCCAUGGUGUCGUCUUCACACAUUCUGCGGUAACAAAUAAAAUAAAACCCAGUGAGGAUGAUGGACAAGUUUACAGGAGGGAAAAUAAAGAACCACCAUCAGAGCCUCUCCAUCAGUCCGGCCGGAGAGGCUCCAUCGGCGGCGGACCGGAGAGACUUUUCCGCACGGAGAGAUAUUUUGGAUGAAAUGAUCAACUCGUCGAAUUUGUAAAUGAAAUGAUUCAUUGUUUGGCCCAAAUGUUCCUCUGAGCUGCUUUCUGAGCCUCUCACACUUUAAUGCUGAAGCAUUUGCGCCUCCUACCGGAGCUGUGCGGAACUGCAGGAGGAGAGGAGGCUCAGAUGAAGAAGACAGGAAAGUCAAAGUUAGUCAUAAAACUGUUGAACUUAUGUGUGCUGUCAUGGUUUGUAUCUUCUUCACUAAAUGCAGAAAGUUUGAAUCUGUAAUAAAGUUUUUAGUUCAUCAUAGAAAACUUCUUACAUGCUAAUAAAAUACACAAUAA
This is a long non-coding RNA of Anoplopoma fimbria (sablefish), 1409 nucleotides long. RefSeq lists it as uncharacterized. The transcript is spliced from 3 exons. Lineage: Eukaryota; Metazoa; Chordata; Actinopteri; Perciformes; Anoplopomatidae. The record is from RefSeq and is a predicted model, not a curated record.